UAACUACUCCCCCCUCAGAAUUAAGGCC
RNAcentral lists this non-coding RNA (28 nucleotides) under Drosophila melanogaster (fruit fly). The record is from RNAcentral. Lineage: Eukaryota; Metazoa; Arthropoda; Insecta; Diptera; Drosophilidae.